ACGUACCACGCGUACACUCCGGUUUCCUCCGCGCCGUCCGCACCCAACUGACGACUGCUUGCUAUGUUUUGUUAGCC
RNAcentral lists this small RNA (77 nucleotides) under Xanthomonas fragariae. RNAcentral describes it as "sX9 sRNA". It matches the Rfam family "Xanthomonas sRNA sX9". The record is from RNAcentral. Lineage: Bacteria; Pseudomonadati; Pseudomonadota; Gammaproteobacteria; Lysobacterales; Lysobacteraceae.